This is an RNA transcript of Vigna radiata var. radiata (mung bean), 1867 nucleotides long. It is a transcript of the gene named GDSL esterase/lipase At1g74460, with no coding region annotated. Lineage: Eukaryota; Viridiplantae; Streptophyta; Magnoliopsida; Fabales; Fabaceae. The transcript is spliced from 6 exons. The record is from RefSeq and is a predicted model, not a curated record.
AAACUAAAGUGCUUCAAGCUACAAGAGAGGUGUGACUUAACUAGAAGAGAUUAUCACUUGAUACUCAAACAUGAAGUUCCAUCUCUCUCUAUUUGUUAUAAUAGGUAUUAUUUUUGGAAUAAAACUUGAAGGGUGCCAAUGCAAGAUUGUGCAGUUCAUUUUUGGAGACUCCCUCUCAGAUGUUGGAAAUAACAAGUACCUUUCUAAAAGUCUUGCCCAGGCAAGUUUACCAUGGUAUGGUAUUGAUUUCGGCAAUGGACUACCUAAUGGUAGGUUCUCCAAUGGUCGUACGGUUGCAGAUAUAAUAGGUGACAACAUGGGACUUCCUAGGCCCCCGGCAUUUCUUGAUCCAUCUUUAACUGAAGAUGUUAUAUUGGAAAAUGGGGUGAAUUAUGCUUCUGGGGGUGGCGGCAUAUUGAAUGAAACUGGCAGUUAUUUUAUUCAAAGGUUCUCUCUGUACAAACAAAUUGAGCUGUUUCAGGGGACACAGGAACUGAUCAGAAGCAGAGUUGGAAAAGAUAAGGCAGAAAAGUUUUUCCAGGGAGCUCGUUAUGUUGUUGCUUUAGGCAGCAAUGACUUCAUCAACAACUAUUUGAUGCCUGUUUACAGUGAUUCAUGGACAUACAAUGACGAAACAUUUGUGAACUACUUGAUGGGAACUCUUAGAGAACAAUUAAAGCUACUUCAUGGGCUUGGAGCCAGGCAGUUGAUGGUGUUUGGGCUGGGCCCAAUGGGCUGCAUUCCCCUUCAAAGAGUGCUUAGUGCAUCUGGAGACUGUCAAGACAGAACAAACAAGUUGGCUAUCAGGUUUAACCAAGCUGGAAGCAAGUUAAUAGAUGAGUUACAAAAGCAACUUCCCAAUUCAAGCUACAGAUUUGGAGAUGCAUAUGAUGUUGUUAAUGAUGUUAUUAGCAACCCAAACAAAUAUGGAUUCCAAAACUCAGACUCACCCUGUUGCUCCUUCGGGAACAUUCGACCAGCUCUUACGUGUAUUCCUGCAUCAAAACUGUGCAAAGACAGAAGCAAGUACGUUUUCUGGGAUGAGUACCAUCCUUCAGAUAGAGCCAAUGAGCUAAUUGCGAAUGAGCUGAUCAAGAAAUUUGGGUUUAUGCGUGCUGACCAAACAAAUCCUCCUUCACCAUCACCUGCUAUUGCCCCGUCUUCAAACCAUUAAUCAUGGAUAUGAAGGUUUUGUUGUUGUUUUCAAACUUGGAAGUUCUUUUAUGGUUGAUGGUAGAUGAAGAAGAUAAGGUUUAUGGAAGAUGAAGAAGAAAGUGGUUGAUGAAGAGAACGAGUGUUUGAAGCUAGAGAAGAUGAAGAAGAGCAAAGCGUAUUCAAUUCCAAGGAACAUUUAUUUGGUUCUAGCCCCAUGAAGAACAACAAAGGCAAGUUGUAUUUGGUUUCAAGGAACUCGUAUUCGGUUCCAACCCCAUGAAGAACAAGAAAGGCAAGGUGUAUUCGAUUCCCAUUGCCUGGUAUUCGAUUCCACGCAUAUGAAGAACUCCUGCUCCUACGCGAACUGGAACUGAAAACAGAGAGUAAUUAAUUGGAGGACGAAUUAUGGUGGAAUGGUAGGAAUAAAAGAAAACUCACCUUGUGAGAAACCUCUUCGGUGCAACGUUGACGAUUGACAUGGGUUUGAGUUUGUUCGGCGAUCCACUUGCGACGUUGGUUGGGAUAAGAGAGAGGAUGCCAUGACUUCUGUUUGAGAUAGAAGUGGCUCCAAGCAGUGCUAGAUUUGGUCUUGUAAUCAACUUCUCCGUUCGCGAUCCGCUUGCUCAACCUUAUGCCUCCUCCUUCUUCCCCCUUCAUCACAUAUAGAUUCUCGAUUCUUCUUCACCUUUGAUGAAUGAAAAAUAUUGUAAAA